CUCAGUAACACGUGGAUAACCUACCCUCAGGUGGGGGAUAACCCCGGGAAACUGGGGAUAAUACCCCAUAGACCAGGGACGCUGGAAUGCCCCCUGGUCGAAAGGUCCGCCGCCUGAGGAUGGGUCUGCGGCCGAUUAGGUUGUUGUUGGGGUAACGGCCCAACAAGCCUUUGAUCGCUACGGGUUGUGAUAGCAAGAGCACGCCAUAUGGAUUCUGAGACACAAAUCCAGGCCCUACUGGGCGAGUAAGAGAGAUAACUUUACAAUCCGAGAAAUCCUUAUAAUGGAACCGCGACUGCCCGUAAAUUCUUGCUGUAAAUCAGCGUAGGAAACUGGGGAGGAAAUGGCCG
This 350-nucleotide ribosomal RNA is filed under the name uncultured Methanolinea sp. RNAcentral describes it as "bacterial SSU rRNA". It matches the Rfam family "Archaeal small subunit ribosomal RNA", at positions 89 to 454 of the family's 1478-position model. Lineage: Archaea; Methanobacteriati; Methanobacteriota; Methanomicrobia; Methanomicrobiales; Methanoregulaceae. The record is from RNAcentral.